RNAcentral lists this long non-coding RNA (310 nucleotides) under Mus caroli (Ryukyu mouse). Its description in RNAcentral is "lncRNA (MGP_CAROLIEiJ_G0004695.1)". Lineage: Eukaryota; Metazoa; Chordata; Mammalia; Rodentia; Muridae. The record is from RNAcentral.
UGUCGGGAUACCAUUACAGGAGUCUGAGCCUUAGAGUGAAAGAGGGGUGUAUUCCCUAGGAAGUAUUACACAAAGAAUGGCUGGAGUCUCCAUUACCCCAAACUAAGCAAGUGAAGUAAAAUAGCUAAGGACAGAAACUGUGUCCACUUCAAGUUGCGGCUUGGCCGGGCACCUGCUGAAGAAUGCUUCCGGGGACCCCCGACACUAGCCUGCGCUUCCCUGGGAACAGAGGGUUGGAAUUCUCUGAAAGAAGCCAUACCGGGUCUUCCUCUUUGGAGUCCUCCACCUUCUCUCGACCUCACUCCUGAUC